Molecule: long non-coding RNA, 295 nt
Organism: Monodelphis domestica (gray short-tailed opossum)
Lineage: Eukaryota; Metazoa; Chordata; Mammalia; Didelphimorphia; Didelphidae
Source: RefSeq, a predicted model, not a curated record
UUGGAGCAUUCACUUGUAUACAAACAUUAAGCUAACUGGAUGAUUAGCUUUGGCAUUAGAAAUGAACAACUCCUGGUAAUACUGAAAGAUUUCAAAAGACAGAUUCACAAUAUGAAGAAAAAACUCAUGCACCUGUUUGGAGCUUCAAACAAGUUUUCCUCUAGCAGAGAAGCGGAAUGACUGCUUUCAUAAGGUGAUAAAAUUUUACUCAACUAGGUCAUCCAGAACCCUUAGUAUUCCUGUUAUUACCCAGUUAAAACAAGGAGCUCUGGAAAUAAAGACCAAUCAAUGAAAA